UCCUUUGGUGCAUAAACAGGGGAAUUUCGAGUAGGACUAAAGAGGUAUUUGACCUCUGUGUUUGGCACUGGUGUACCUGAUGCUGAAAUACUGUGUCCAGUUCUGGUGUCCUCAAUUGAAGAAGGCUCUUGAUAAAUUGGAGAGUGUUAAGAGAAGAACCAUGAGAAUGAUUACAUGAUUAGAAAUCAUGCCUUAUAGUGAAACAGUCAAAGAGCUCAAUUUAUUUAGCUUAUCAAAGAGAAGGUUAAGGGGUGACUUGAUCACAGCCUUUAAAUAUCUUGUUGGGGAACAGAUAUAUGAUGCUGGGCUCUUCAUGCUAGCAGACAAAGGUAUAACAAGAUCAAUUGGCUGGAAGUUGAAGCUAGACAAAGUCAGACUGGAACUAAAGCAUAAAUUUUUAACAGUGAGGGUAAUUAACCAUUGGAACUGUAAAAAAAUGUAUAAUGAAUCAUGUUAGAUAAAUGUCUAUUAAAUAAUGUUAGAGACAUAGUUAUAUACUGUAUUUAAUAGUGUUAUAAGAAAAUGUAAAAGGGAAUUCUGCUUUCUGCAUGGGUCUUGUUGACACAGCUUUUAAAACUCUGCUAAAACAAGUUCAAAGGUUGUGAAAAUCAGAAGGUUGGUGUGUGUCUUAUCUGUGGUCUGUGUAGAUAACAGAGCAAAGCAAACUAGACAAAUGUGUGAUUUACUAGCCAGGUGCAGAUUUCCCUAGUAAACAAGACUUGGGAAGACGGAUAUUGACUGAAGAGAACGAGCCAACUCCAAUUCCAAGAAGCAGAUAAAUGGGAUGCUGGAUGAGGGCCCUUCUCUGCAGGAACUCAGUUGGCACUUGCAACGCCAGCUGUCCCGAGCAGACGUCAAUGCUGGAAUGUGGCAAGGGAUCCCCUUCCAGAAGUCAAGUGUGCUGCCGGAAAUGAUAGUAGCUAUUAAUACUGCUGAAUUUUUACAUUUAAAAAUUGCUUUCAGUUCUUUUGAUCAAGUUGAGCCCAAGUUGAAAGAAGGGUUACAGAGACCUCAGCAAAGAUAUGUGAUUGGGUAUACAAAUCCACUCUGGACACCAAGGGGUUAAGGAGCUGCUCUGGGAUCAGCCAGCUAGGCCCCUGGCCACCUGCAAGGCAUGUACAGGCCAGAGGAGAAGCUUUAAAGUGGAGCAGCCACAGGUAAGAUACCCCCUGUUGAGAAAGAGCUACUAUACCAUGCCUGGCCACACGGAGGUGCCAAUGGUAAGUUGACCUUUCA
RNAcentral lists this long non-coding RNA (1236 nucleotides) under Chrysemys picta bellii (western painted turtle). RNAcentral's name for it is "lncRNA (ENSCPBG00000000112.1)". The record is from RNAcentral. Lineage: Eukaryota; Metazoa; Chordata; Testudines; Emydidae.